This is a long non-coding RNA of Zootermopsis nevadensis, 686 nucleotides long. RefSeq lists it as uncharacterized. Lineage: Eukaryota; Metazoa; Arthropoda; Insecta; Blattodea; Termopsidae. The record is from RefSeq and is a predicted model, not a curated record.
UUGCUCCGGUACACCGGCCACGAGCUCAGUACCUUUACAUGUGUCGUGCAACAAGCGUGACAGUGGAACAAUGACCGCCGAGUGCCGAAAAAGCCAUCGAGCAACCUAUGGAAUCUGGUGAAAGUGAUUCAUUUAUCUGCACCCACAUCGUCUAUAGAGUCUCCAAGAUACGAUUUGUUAGAACCAGCUUUCAUGACCUCCCAAUGUUCGCGUUCAAGGCCAUCAAAAAGAAAAUUGGAAUCCACGGAUUCGGCUUUAGCUACCGAAGUUUUGAUGUCAAUUAAAGACCAUUUUAAGCGCCCGGAAAGUACUGAUGACCACUUCGACAUUGAAUGAAGCUACGCGAUUUGCCACAACAGCAAAGAAUUAUAGCUGAAGAACUUAUUAAUGAACCAUUGUUUGAAGCUGAGAUAGGUACUUUAACCAAGGAUAAUAGAUUAUUUGCCCAAGGGAUGACUUCGACAACAUUCAACACAUUUCAAUCUCCUUCUUGCUGCGAUUUCAAUGCACGUACUAUUCUCACGCAUGUAACGCCACAAAUAACAAGUCCCAACACUUCGGAAAACUCUGUUUCUGUGGCAUCAUACGUCAAUAACUUUAGUGUGUAUUUUGUAAACCACUCUUUUGCCAAAUUUCAAAUUUUUUGUCUAAAUUUGUAAAAUUUUACAUAAACAUUACUAAACCAA